This 684-nucleotide long non-coding RNA is filed under the name Homo sapiens (human). Its description in RNAcentral is "HSALNT0007026". Lineage: Eukaryota; Metazoa; Chordata; Mammalia; Primates; Hominidae. The record is from RNAcentral.
CCAGGAGGAUGGCUGGGCAGGAGUAUGCAGGAGACAGAGGUGAAGACUUUAUUUUUUCAACAGAUGACAUCCACCGUUGUAUCCUGAACCGGGGAAUGUCAGUUGUAAGAGCCGGCAGUCUCUGUACCCACCACCUCCAUUGUAGAGAUGGGGCCGCAGCAGCUCAGAGACGGUGCGGACCGUGUCGAUCACACAGCGCAUGAGAGGGAGGGGCGGGGUGAGAAACCCGGUUUGAACCUCACAGCACCCCACCAUCACCUCCUGCCUUGGAGCCGAAACCGGGUUUGGGCAUGGGGGAGGGGCAGUUGCUGUGGGAAGAAAACAAACACCCCUGCGCUCCGGUCUGCAGGCGCCAGCUGCCAAGAUGGCAAGGAGACUGACUGCCUGAGUGCAGACCCGAGGCAGGGGCUUCCUGUCUGCGAGGAGGCCCUGGUGGCUGUUCUCCCACUGCCCACACCCUUCUGGUCUCCAUCAGUGACUGGUACAGCGCCGUGGCCCUGUUGCCAGCCUUCAUAAGAGGUGUGGAGGUGGUAACCUCCCUCCACCCACCCUCACCCUAGUAAGCGGACAGCCAGGAUCCCAACCAGACAGUUUUGCCCCAGUGCUGGGCCUCCUCUCUCCCCGGCCCCCCAGUUCUCAGGGGAGGCCCGGCUUUCCUGGGGAAUAAAGCCCCUUUCUAUUUUC